AAAUAGAAAACUGGUUCGAACCGGUUUCGUUCUUAUAUUUUGGUGUAUAAACUACAAAAACAUUCGUUUGCAUUAUACAUUCGCCAUUUUACGCUGCGACUGCUCGGUUGUUAUCUGUUAUCUCUUCGAUAAAAGUCCGUGUAACGGCUGUAUUUUUGUGAGUUUUCUGGUCAUUUGUAGCCAGCAACAUGGGCAAAGCAAAGACAUCUGUCGCCCCUGAGCAAAGAAGAUGCUCUGCAAGACUGGCUGCAUCGCAGAAAUCCAAACCACCACUGGAGGCGAAGAAGAAGCCUAUAAAGAGGGUGCCCAAAGCAAAGAAGGCCAAACCAGCUGAGAAUGGGAACACUAAGUGUGAGGAGCCGAAGGCCGACGCCACUGAAGCCAAAUGAACGGUUGAUGUGCUCACUCUGUCUACUUGGUGAUUGUACAGUUUUAAAUAAGUAUUUUUUACCAAGUUUUAUAUUACAAAUGUCAUUUAUAGGUUUGUUUUUGGCUUGCACUUGAUGUAAGAAAACUUUGUUUUCAGUCAUAUCCAUUUUAUAUCCAUUUAAAAGUAAUUUCCGUCCAUAUCUUGUAGACGUGGCAUUUUUAGUUUGUCUAAUCAACUUUUUUUUAUUUUAAACUGCUGAAUAAUAGAUAUUUUCCAACAAGUUGGAUUUUGAAUCUAAUUUUAAACAUUAUGAGGCAGCUAAAGCAUAUUAAAAUUUGCAGGAGAAUAGGAACUUUGCCUUUUAUCUCCUUGUAUUUUAAUGUUGAACUAAUAAAAGAAUUGCUUACCAAAUGUUUUGAAACACUGUAUGUUGAUGAGAUCUAGUCAGUUAAAAUGCCACAAAAAAAAAAAAGAAUACUGUCAUUAGGUCAAAAGUUUGAUAGAUCCCAAAAACAUGUAUGAGAUGUGAACCUGGUCAUCAGAUGAAGGAGUUCUGUUAAGUUAUGUUUCUGUUAGGAGAAAAGAAAGCUUUUCUGACUUCAAUGGUUGAUCUAAAUGUUCUUGAAUAAAACUUUUCAAAAUGUC
This is a long non-coding RNA of Stegastes partitus (bicolor damselfish), 1015 nucleotides long. RefSeq lists it as uncharacterized. The record is from RefSeq and is a predicted model, not a curated record. NCBI's taxonomy places the organism in Eukaryota, Metazoa, Chordata, Actinopteri, Pomacentridae. The transcript is spliced from 6 exons.